RNAcentral lists this ribosomal RNA (1956 nucleotides) under Triticum aestivum (bread wheat). RNAcentral's name for it is "partial small subunit ribosomal RNA". Lineage: Eukaryota; Viridiplantae; Streptophyta; Magnoliopsida; Poales; Poaceae. The record is from RNAcentral.
AUGGCGGCGCAGGCGGCGAGCUCGGCGUCGGAGGGCGGCUCCCCGGCCGCGGCGGCCGCUGCGGCUGCGGCGGCGGCAUCGUCGUUCCCGGCGACAUCGCUUUACGUGGGCGACCUCGACGUGAGCGUGCAGGACGCGCAGCUCUUCGACGUCUUCGCCCAGAUCGGCGGCGUCGUCUCCGUGCGCGUCUGCAGGGACGUCACCUCGCGGAAGUCGCUCGGAUACGCCUACGUCAACUACAACACCCCGGCUGACGCUGCACGGGCUCUUGAAAUGCUCAACUUCACUCCUAUCAAUGGACGGCCUAUCAGGAUAAUGUAUUCUAACCGUGACCCCAGCUUGCGCAAGAGUGGCACAGCAAAUAUAUUUAUUAAGAAUCUUGACAAGUCAAUUGACAACAAAGCUUUGUAUGACACAUUUUGUGUGUUUGGAAACAUUCUUUCAUGUAAAGUUGCAACAGAUCCUGCUGGGGAAUCAAAGGGCUAUGGCUUCGUUCAGUACGAGCGGGAUGAGGCUGCUCAUGCUGCUAUCGAGAAACUGAAUGGGAUGCUUAUGAAUGACAAGAAGGUGUAUGUUGGGCCUUUCGUUCGUAAGCAGGAGAGAGAUAACUCUCCCGGCAAUGUCAAGUUCAAUAAUGUCUAUGUUAAGAACCUAGCUGAGACUACCACUGAAGAUGACUUGAAGGAAAUCUUUGGGAAGUUUGGAGCAAUAACAAGUGUUGUUGUAAUGCGGGAUGGGGAUGGAAGAUCCAAGUGUUUUGGAUUUGUGAAUUUUGAAAGUCCAGAUGAAGCUGCUCUGGCUGUUCAAGAUUUGAAUGGCAAGAAAUUUAGUGACAAGGAAUGGUAUGUUGGAAGAGCGCAGAAAAAGUCAGAAAGGGAGAUUGAAUUGAAAGAGAAGUUUGAAAAGAACCUUCAAGAGGCAGCGGAUAAGUAUCAGAACACCAACUUGUAUCUGAAGAACUUGGAUGAUACUGUUGACGAUGAAAAGUUGCGUGAACUUUUUGCUGAGUUCGGAACUAUUACUUCCUGCAAGGUUAUGCGUGAUUCAAACGGUGCUAGCAGAGGUUCUGGAUUUGUCGCUUUUAAAUCUGCUGAUGAUGCUUCCCGAGCUCUUGCUGAAAUGAACAACAAGAUGGUUGGCAAUAAACCACUUUAUGUUGCACUCGCACAGCGCAAGGAAGACAGGAAAGCUAGGCUGCAGGCACAGUUUUCACAAAUGCGUCCUGUUCCAAUGGCUCAAACUGUUGGUCCUCGUAUGCAAAUGUUACCUCCUGGUGUUCCAGUUGGUCAGCAAAUGUUCUAUGGCCAGCCACCAGCGUUUAUUAACCCACAGCCUGGAUUUGGCUUCCAGCAACCUUUCAUGCCGGGAAUGAGGCCAGGUGGUGCUCCGAUGCCAAACUUUAUGAUGCCUAUGGUUCAGCAAGGACAACAACCACAACGCCCAGCUGGUAGGCGAGCUGGUGCUGGUGGAAUGCAGCAAUCCAUGCAGAUGGGUCAGCAGCAGAUGCUGGGUAGGGGUGGUGGUCGUGGUUACCGCUAUCAGACCGGGCGUGGCAUGCCUGAUCCUGCGAUGCAUGGUGUUGGGGGUGUGAUGACAUCCCCAUAUGAGAUGGGAGGGAUGCCUAUGAGAGAUGCCGGUGCGUCACAGCCGGUUCCAAUUGGGGCAUUGGCUUCUGCACUUGCCAAUUCACCCCCAGAGACGCAAAGAAUGAUGCUUGGCGAGAACUUGUACCCUCUUGUUGAUCAGCUGGAGCACGACCAGGCUGCCAAGGUGACCGGCAUGCUUCUGGAGAUGGACCAGACUGAGGUGCUUCACCUGCUUGAGUCGCCAGACGCUCUCAAGGCCAAGGUUGCUGAAGCCAUGGAGGUUCUCCGCAGCGCUCAGCAGCACACCAACCAGUCCCCUGAGCAGCAGCUGGCUUCGCUCUCGCUGAAUGACGGCCUCAUCUCUUCCUAA